This 345-nucleotide unclassified non-coding RNA is filed under the name soil metagenome. RNAcentral's name for it is "partial contains 5.8S ribosomal RNA, internal transcribed spacer 2, and large subunit ribosomal RNA". The stretch from base 1 to 120 matches the Rfam family "5.8S ribosomal RNA", at positions 35 to 154 of the family's 154-position model. The record is from RNAcentral.
GAUGAAGAACGUAGCGAAAUGCGAUACGUAAUGUGAAUUGCAGAAUUGAGUGAAUCAUCGAGUCUUUGAACGCACAUUGCGCCCCCUGGUAUUCCGGGGGGCAUGCCUGUCCGAGCGUCAUUGCUGCCCUCAAGCACGGCUUGUGUGUUGGGCCUCCGUCCUCCUCCCGGGGGACGGGCCCGAAAGGCAGCGGCGGCACCGCGUCCGGUCCUCGAGCGUAUGGGGCUUCGUCACCCGCUCUUGUAGGCCCGGCCGGCGCUUGCCGACACAUCAAUCUUUUUUCCAGGUUGACCUCGGAUCAGGUAGGGAUACCCGCUGAACUUAAGCAUAUCAAUAAGCGGAGGA